Molecule: long non-coding RNA, 395 nt
Organism: Prunus dulcis (almond)
Lineage: Eukaryota; Viridiplantae; Streptophyta; Magnoliopsida; Rosales; Rosaceae
Exons: 2
Source: RefSeq, a predicted model, not a curated record
ACUCAAACUCACGGAUCUCUCUGUACCUUUCCCUCACAUUUCUCUCGGGCUCUCCUUUGUUUCCUAACCCUAGCCGCACACAACACUCACUCAUCGCAUCAUUCAUCUUCAUCUUCAUCACCUUUGGUAAACAAUGUCAUCACCUUUGGCCUCUUCGUCUCCCCAGUGUUUUGCUUCUAAUAAUCCAUCAUCUACGGAUGAAUCUGCAAAAAGGGGUUGAAGGCUCUCAAUUGAUUUGUAUUAAUUAGUUGGAUGUUGAAGUUUAUUUCUAUUUGUACCCAAAUCCGGGAUUGUAUUUGAACUUUGUUUUACUGGAAAUUUGGUUAACUUUCCAUAUUUGAUGUAUUGGAGAUUUGGAUUAUAUAAUGAAAAUGUUGAUGUUUGCAGCUGUAUCA